RNAcentral lists this long non-coding RNA (264 nucleotides) under Elaeis guineensis (African oil palm). RNAcentral's name for it is "long non-coding RNA (EGUI_LNC013256)". Lineage: Eukaryota; Viridiplantae; Streptophyta; Magnoliopsida; Arecales; Arecaceae. The record is from RNAcentral.
GCUCUAUAUAUUAUGUUGGUAUUACUUAUUUUUGCUGCUAGUAAUAUUUUGGAAGGUUUGUUGGGUGAGUUGCCUAACAAAGACAAAGGCUACCCAUGAUUAUGAUACAUUUAGUAUAAAGUAUGCUAAACAAGUGAUACAUUUAGUAUGAGGUAUGCUAUGGGCUCUUUUUCUUAUUCCUAUAUGAUAUGUUAAAGCCGAUGGGUGCCGAUGGGUUUUACUUGCUAUAUUGUUAUAGUUAUCUACUUAUUUUCCUUAAUGAUG